Non-coding RNA from Agrilus planipennis (emerald ash borer), 64 nucleotides. NCBI's taxonomy places the organism in Eukaryota, Metazoa, Arthropoda, Insecta, Coleoptera, Buprestidae. The record is from the annotation of a RefSeq genome assembly.
AUUUAAAUAGCUUAAAAUUAAAGCUUAAUAUUGAAGAUAUUAUGAUGGUGUAAACCUUUAAAUA